This 72-nucleotide transfer RNA is filed under the name Dechloromonas sp. Its description in RNAcentral is "tRNA-Thr". It matches the Rfam family "tRNA". From Rfam's summary of the family: Transfer RNA (tRNA) molecules are approximately 80 nucleotides in length. Lineage: Bacteria; Pseudomonadati; Pseudomonadota; Betaproteobacteria; Rhodocyclales; Azonexaceae. The record is from RNAcentral.
GCCCCGUAGCAUGAAGGUCGUGCAGUUGAUUUGUAAUCAUCAGGUAGCGGUUCGAUUCCGUUCGGGGCACCA